Molecule: signal recognition particle RNA, 222 nt
Filed under: Dethiobacter sp.
Lineage: Bacteria; Bacillati; Bacillota; Dethiobacteria; Dethiobacterales; Dethiobacteraceae
Description: partial signal recognition particle sRNA large type
Rfam family: Bacterial large signal recognition particle RNA
About the family: The signal recognition particle (SRP) is a universally conserved ribonucleoprotein involved in the co-translational targeting of proteins to membranes. Archaeal SRP consists of a 7S RNA and homologues of the eukaryotic SRP19 and SRP54 proteins.
Source: RNAcentral
UCGUGCUAGACGGGGAGGUAGCGGUGCCCUGAACCUGCAACCCGCUGUAGCAGGGUUGAAUCCCUGUCCCCGGCCCGUAUUUUUCAGGGUCUGACCCGGAGAAGUGGUGUUGACGACCGGGUCCCGUGCGGCGUAAGCUUGUGAAUCCCGUCAGGUCCGGAAGGAAGCAGCGGUAAGCAGGUCCUUGCGGGCGCCACGGGGCGGCCUGGUUUGAGCUGGCUG